CGCACAUCGCGCCCUUUGGCAUUCCGGGGGGCACGCCUGUUCGAGCGUCAUUGAAAUCGAUCGAGCCCGGCUCGGUGUUGGGCCUUCUCCCCCGGGAGUGCCCGAAAGCCAGCGGCGCGGGCGUCGGGAGCAGGGUGUAAUGGAACCUCAUUCUUCGCUCCGGGCGUCCGCCGCCCCCGACGGAAUUCUCUUCCACCGUUGAAUCUGACCUCGGAUCAGGCGGGGAUACCCGCUGAACUUAA
This 242-nucleotide unclassified non-coding RNA is filed under the name Dothideomycetes sp. RNAcentral describes it as "partial contains 5.8S ribosomal RNA, internal transcribed spacer 2, and large subunit ribosomal RNA". The record is from RNAcentral. Lineage: Eukaryota; Fungi; Ascomycota; Dothideomycetes.